This 75-nucleotide transfer RNA is filed under the name Candidatus Helarchaeota archaeon. Its description in RNAcentral is "tRNA-Arg". It matches the Rfam family "tRNA". Rfam says of the family: Transfer RNA (tRNA) molecules are approximately 80 nucleotides in length. Their secondary structure includes four short double-helical elements and three loops (D, anti-codon, and T loops). The record is from RNAcentral. Lineage: Archaea; Promethearchaeati; Candidatus Helarchaeota.
GGACCCGUAGCCUAGCCAGGAUAGGGCGCCAGCCUUCUAAGUUGGAUUUCGUGGGUUCGAAUCCCACCGGGUCCG